AAGCUUUUGGCUCGGGUUAUAUUUUCACUCGCGGCGUAUAAGACGAGCAAAAAGCUUGU
RNAcentral lists this microRNA precursor (59 nucleotides) under Chrysemys picta bellii (western painted turtle). RNAcentral describes it as "Cpi-Mir-208-P2_pre stem-loop". The record is from RNAcentral. Lineage: Eukaryota; Metazoa; Chordata; Testudines; Emydidae.